AGUGUGAGAGGACCAGGCCUGACCUCGGGGGUGGGUACGCAGAAGGACCCUGUCGUGCUCCCAAGGGAUAGCGUUCCCAGCGAGACCGCGUGGAAGGUUCUAGAAAUCGCCAGGGAGCAUGCGCCAACGGCGCGUAAGGCUGGCCACAGACCGAGUUGGGACAUGCACUUCCCCUUGGAGUCUCGCUCUCGGCAGCAGCUCUGGAUUUGGGUGCGAGUGUAUGUUGUGUAGAGAAGCAGGUGGAGGGGUUGCUGAAGUAGUGACGCCUGCUGCGGGUUCAUUGUGGGUGUUAAAACUGCCCUGUGUCUCAGUCGUGAACACUAGUUGAAAAUACACGACCGUGUAAAAUAAAGUCUCUGGGAGAAAAUAUGCCAACUUGUAAACAGUGGUUAUUUUUAGAAGACAAUUAAGAGUGACCUUUUUAGUGUUAAAAAAAAAAAAAAAAGCUGGACUGUCGUUUACUAAUGGAGAGUGAUGAGACAGUUAUGGCUUGUAAGCUGUCGCUGAAGUGUCCAUCGCGUAGUGAGAAAAAAGAGGUUCAACAAUUGGGACCAGAGAGUGAAAGACCAACAGAACAGUUUCACGUUUUCCUCCGCUGAAUUAGGAUCGUUCGAAAAUGCUUACAGUGAAUUUACUAACAGAUUAAGCACCAAGGACCUUACUUACCCCCUGAUAGUAGGCAAGCUACCCUACCCUUUCCUACGAGGGAAAAAAGCCCUGGAGACAGGACUGUUUCCACAAAUGACUUUGGAGAACCAAAACAAAGGAAAGAGCAUGAAACUGGCCCAACCAUUUUGUGAGCAGAUGAAGUCAAAGAACUUCCACUAGAUUCUUAAGCACUUACACAUUGGAAGGAAGGCGCAAAAGGGGUCCAGUCAAGGAAAUGGCUCCAUGUGCCACGGCGUCAGGGUCCUUUCCCGAUUUAGUGGAGUGGCCAUGGCCUGCAGAUGCAGGAGAGCAUAUCCCAAGCCAAGGCUGGCUGGGCAAGCGCCUCCUUGGGCCUUUGGUGUAUCCCAGCAAGAACCACAGAGGGAAGGAGACCUGGAGAGUGCACCCCAGUCUGGCUGGAGGAAAUGGAAAGCUUUGCGUCUUCAGACUCUAUAGACGCCACCUAGUGGGCAAACAACUCGUUCACACUCAGCACGCAACUGUGGCUGGCCCAGUUUCAGUUACUGGCAGUCAACCACAGUCCAGAAGCAGAUGAUCCUUCUCCUGACGUAUUGUCAUGUCAAUAGCAACCUAACGCUAUGUCACAAUGCCUACAUCAUUCACUUCACUCCAUCUCAUCAAAUAGGCAUCUUAUCAACUCACAUCAUCACAAGGUCUCCUGUCAAUGCUUUGCCCUGGCAAAACCUCACCGGAGCCUGUGACAUGUGGUUGACGGGUUGCCGACCCCUUGCAAUCCAGAAGAGUUCCCAGAAAGGCUCGCAGUGGGGUUGAGAGCCAACAGUACACAACUAGCACAAGCGCAUGAUGCUGUGUGGCUGCACCAUGAACAUUUCCACCGGAGGUGGUCACGCAAUCCCUUUGCCCUGCAGUGAUGUCAUCAAGCCAUGUACCAGGAAGAGCCUCCCUAGGGUGGGGCUUCCCCUCCUCAAGAUACACACCUGGUGGGGAGAACUCGUUGUAGAAUUCCAAGUUCGGUUCCCAGAGAGGUUAACAGCAAAGACACAAUAGAUCCUUAAGCAGCUCUUACCCUAUUCUUGGCCCUGCCCUGGCUAACCCAGGGUCUACCACAUCAGCACCUCCAUAGAUCUGUAACUGGGGUACAGAGGUGCAAGAGAUCCUGGCUCCAGGGGUCCCAAACGGACCAGGUUCGGCCACUUGCUGCUGACAAGAUCCAAGAUAAGUGGUGGUGAAACCAGACAGGCAUUUAUUUCAGUGAGGCCAGCACCAGGAAGACUUCACAAAGAGGGUCUCCAAAGUGCUGAAAAUAUCUUCUAGAUUUAUAUAAAGAAAAUGUGGGACAAAGGUCAGUGGGUACAUAACAUAGAUGUAGGCAGUAAAAGUCGGGUUGAUCAUUGUCUUGGGGUCAGUCACGUCAGGUCAGGUCAGGUCAGUUGUUAUUGCUUAAGGGGUAGUUUUGGUUCCCAUAUGGGAUGCUUCGCUGUGGAGUCUUUUGCCUGAGUUAAGUGAUAAGCUGGAAAGAAUAACUUAAUCACUUAGAAAGUACAGACUGAGGUCAGAAUGGAGGUAGUUGAAGUCCUCUUUCAGGUACACCCUUCACCCAAUAUCUACCUGGUCUGACUCCACUGGACAUUAGCAACUCUUUCCAAAAGACAAGUAUCACUGAUUUUAGGAAAAUGUUCCCAUUCAUACCUGUCAAAGAGCAAGUUGUUAGGGUGGACUCUUUAUUGUUUGUUUGUUUGUUUGUUUGUUUGUUUUUCAUUUUGACAAGCCCUUGAAUGCUUUUAGAGUAAUUUUGUUUUGGUUUUGCUUUAUUUUGGUAUAUUUUUGUAAAUGUAUUAUGAAAACACAAAGUGUUUUUUAAAUAGGACAGCUGAGCUAGCACAAAUGAAGACCUCAGGAUGGGGACGGGUGUGCAAUACCACUGUCAAUCUCGCUCCAUUCCCCUUGUCAUCUUUUAGAAGGCAAAGCAGGCACUCACAGCUUAAGCUAACCCCUUCAUUCCUCUAAGCCCAAACUCCUAGGAUAUACUGAUCCUAUACCCCUAACAUGGCACAGAGGGAAGACCGCACUCUUUCAUUGGAAGAAUCAGAUAUAUUUAGAAAGAAUACAUGUCCUUGGUUAUAAUAUAUUUUCUUCAAAGAAUAUACUAGCAUGAGAACUCAUCUAUUUUCUCUACCUGAACUGCACUGUCUCAUUGAAAGAAAUUUUCCUCCAAAAUAGGGCUGAAGAAGCACUUCCUGGCUGACUGAUAGAGACACAUCCCCAGAAACAGAGUGGAGGGCAAUGGUGGGGGUGUCCUAAGGAACAUGAUAUCCUUGGCUAAUGCUGGAAGGUGCUGGCUGGGGACACAAACUCCCUGGGGGUGUGGGCCCUCCUGUCCCUACUUGGACAACUCUGACCCUCAAAGCCUGCUUGAUUGGUUAGACAAUUAGUUGGUUGAAUGCAGAGCACUCAGAGUCAGAGGGAGACCCUUUUAGGGUGCUCUGCCCUGAGGGCUCUCAGCUCUUCUUCCUCCACCCAUUCACAUGUCCCCCAUGCCAAUGUUAAUCUCUUCUCUCCUCCUGCUCCCCACCCUUCCCCAGUAUUCUAAUUCUUCACCUCAUUACACAGAGGAAUUCACCUCUCCCAAGUCCUUCCCCAGCCCAUACACCCAAACUCAUCCUGAUUUGGGAAGUCACAGAAGCAUUACCCAACCUCUUAUAGAGAGAGACCCAUUAUAUAUAGAAAUACAUUUGGCUUGUUUUGAAUCACAACCAUGGUUACGUCCUCUAUAAACAGUUUCUUGAUUUUCUCCCA
Felis catus (domestic cat) is the source of this 3426-nucleotide long non-coding RNA. RefSeq lists it as uncharacterized. Lineage: Eukaryota; Metazoa; Chordata; Mammalia; Carnivora; Felidae. The record is from RefSeq and is a predicted model, not a curated record. The transcript has 5 exons.